AAAAUCACUCUUUCAGCAAAAAUUCAAACAAAUAAUGCGAAAACCCAGAGAUGCGAAUCUUCAAGUACUAGAAGAAGGAGAAUUAAAAGCUUUGCUAGUAUUUUACUUGUUUUUUUAAACUAACAACUUGAAUUGGACUGAACAGUAGAAGACCGAUUGACGUCAGUGACGAAGGCGCAUGCGCACGCUCAACCCACAUCGAAGACUUUUCUGUGAAAACUAGCUUUAUGGCUAUAUCACGUAAUGACCAUAGCGGUCACAGGCCAAUGACAAGGCUCUUUUAAAGUACUUAACUUUAACCGGAAGUUGGUCACAGGAAGUUUACAGGAAGAUCUAAAAAUUGCUGUGUUGCGAAAGCACAGAAAGACCACAAAAAGUUUACGGAUGAUCGAUCCAACGAUCUGACGAUCGAGUGACACAGAAGUCCCUCCUAUAACUCGUAAAUGCGUUGCAAGCAUUCACGAGUUAAAAAGGGGAAAAAAAUAUCUGCUAUCUGAGCCUCGGUGUGUUCUUAUCAUGUUCUUAAAAUUUGGUGAAAUCUCAGGCUGGACGUUCUUGUGGAAAAGGUUUUUAUAAAGAAGAUCGGUUUUCGAGGAAAAUAAUUGUAUCCAAUUCUGAUGCUAUUUAGUAGACUCUCUACUGGGGAACAACAUCAAUAUCAUUGACAUUGUCGCCGUUAGUCACGUUACAAAACACCACUUGAUCACACAUCACAACAAAAUAGACAGUCUGUUUUGUUUGUUGUUGUUUUUUUACUUUUGUUUGAGAAUCUUUCAAUUGUCAUGGAGAUGUUUCAGUAUUGAAUUCACUGCUUCACCUGCAUUUAAGUGAAAUUAACACAUUUUCCGCAUUAGAUACCUUUACUACUAAGUCAAGAAAGUUUAAGUACAUUCUUAACAGAGUUGUCAUAUUUCUCCUUUAAAUAAUUCAUGAUCCUUUAAAAUGGACGAUCAAUAACAUGCUUAAGGACCAUUAGAAGAAGCUAUU
Nematostella vectensis (starlet sea anemone) is the source of this 987-nucleotide long non-coding RNA. RefSeq lists it as uncharacterized. NCBI's taxonomy places the organism in Eukaryota, Metazoa, Cnidaria, Anthozoa, Actiniaria, Edwardsiidae. The record is from RefSeq and is a predicted model, not a curated record. The transcript is spliced from 2 exons.